AUUGAACGCUGGCGGCAGGCCUAACACAUGCAAGUCGAACGAGUGGCGGACGGGUGAGUAAUGUCUGGGAAACUGCCUGAUGGAGGGGGAUAACUAAUGGAAACGGUAGCUAAUACCGCAUACCAUCGGAUGUGCCCAGAUGGGAUUAGCUAGUAGGUGGGGUAAAGGCUCACCUAGGCGACGAUCCCAAGCUGGUCGGAGAGGUUGACCAGCCACACUUGUACUGAGCAACGGUCCAGACUCCUACGGUAGGCAGCAGUGGUGAAUAUUGCACAAUGGGUGCAAGCCUGAUGCAGCCAUGCCGCGUGUAUGAAGAAGGCCUUCGGGUUGUAAAGUACUUUCAGCGGGGAGGCGUUACCCGCAGAAGAAGCACCGGCUAACUCCGUGCCAGCAGCCGCGGUAAUUC
This 406-nucleotide ribosomal RNA is filed under the name uncultured bacterium. RNAcentral describes it as "partial 16S ribosomal RNA". It matches the Rfam family "Bacterial small subunit ribosomal RNA", at positions 30 to 526 of the family's 1533-position model. The record is from RNAcentral.